CAACCUUCCCUGGUGAACACAGGAGUGGAAAAGGGUGGCAAUGGUGACCAAAGUGGGGACAAUAACGACCCCACGGAUGUGUAAAACGCCAGGGGCGUCUGCAGCCACGCAUAUCACAUGAAUGCGCUCACAUAAAUGGCCAACGCAGGCGUGCGGUGUCUUUUUUCCCUACUCUUCCCCUUCCCCUCAUCCCUAUCCCCUUCGGCGCCUCACCUACCGGACGCUGGGCCGCUGGCUUCAUUCUUCGCGUGCGAGUGCACGCGCUCUCCCGACGACACCGUUGCUGUUCGCGUGUUCUUCAGCGGUAGGGCCCUUUUUGCUUUCAUUUUUUAUGCGUUUUCUCCUCUCUCUGUCUGGGUGGUGUGUGUGGGUGAGUGUUGGUGUGCUAUCAUACUUGAGUACGUGUCCUCUCACUGCGUGAUGGCACUGCUCUCUCCUCUUUUCUUCGCUUUCUCUGGGGUGUGUAAGUCAGAAACUUAAGAGCAGCAAGCUGAAAAAAAAAAACUCAUAACAUGUGCAAGUGCGGGACGAGGGGGGGAGCGGCAGUGGUGGCGGUUGACGCGCGCUCACCCUCUCCUCUACUCCCCCAGACACCUACACAGGCUCGGUCACGUGCACUUUUUUCUCUCGGCACCUCGUCUCUCGUCGGUGGUGCAGCAGCCCCGUUUCUUAUUCAUGGAAGAGGAAGGCAGGAGUGGGUGGCGCAGGAUGGAGGGCUGUGGCUUCCGCCCCUCUUUUGGUACAGGGUCUCCUACGCGGUUCCCUUUUCAGUCUUGGGGUCACGCGGAGAGAGCGGUGCGCCGGCAUGCGAGGACGAAGGAGAGCUGUGAAGUUGUGUGUAUGUGUAUGUGUGUACGGGGUGCCAGUCAUGCGAAUACCUUUCUCCUGUGGUUGCAGUAUCCUUGUGAUGUACACAUUGUCGAAUGACAAGGAUGCGAAGCUUCCUGCCCUGGAAGAUGAGUGUGGGGGGGAGCUUCAGUCUGCACCACUCGCUCAGCAGCAAGCUUUUUUUUCACCGCAAAAAGAGGUGCACGAUGAGCUGCCCCACAGUGCUGCCUCUUAUCAGCUUCCACUUGCCCUCUCUGACCCCUGACCUUUUCCUAUGCGGGGGGGUGUGCGUCCACAUGCACGUCUCCACUCUCUCUCCUCCCCUGACCGACGGGAAAG
Molecule: unclassified non-coding RNA, 1167 nt
Filed under: Leishmania donovani
Lineage: Eukaryota; Euglenozoa; Kinetoplastea; Trypanosomatida; Trypanosomatidae
Description: gene:unknown
Source: RNAcentral